GAGCAGCCCAGAGCCUGAAUCAGUGUGUGUGUUAGUGGAAGCGUCUGGAAAGGCGUGCGAUACAGGGUGACAGCCCCGUACACAAAAAUGCACAUAUUGUGAGCUCGAUGAGUAGGGCGGGACACGUGGUAUCCUGUCUGAAUAUGGGGGGACCAUCCUCCAAGGCUAAAUACUCCUGACUGACCGAUAGUGAACCAGUACCGUGAGGGAAAGGCGAAAAGAACCCCGGCGAGGGGAGUGAAAAAGAACCUGAAACCGUGUACGUACAAGCAGUGGGAGCACGCUUAGGCGUGUGACUGCGUACCUUUUGUAUAAUGGGUCAGCGACUUAUAUUCUGUAGCAAGGUUAACCGAAUAGGGGAGCCGAAGGGAAACCGAGUCUUAACUGGGCGUUAAGUUGCAGGGUAUAGACCCGAAACCCGGUGAUCUAGCCAUGGGCAGGUUGAAGGUUGGGUAACACUAACUGGAGGACCGAACCGACUAAUGUUGAAAAAUUAGCGGAUGACUUGUGGCUGGGGGUGAAAGGCCAAUCAAACCGGGAGAUAGCUGGUUCUCCCCGAAAGCUAUUUAGGUAGCGCCUCGUGAAUUCAUCUCCGGGGGUAGAGCACUGUUUCGGCAAGGGGGUCAUCCCGACUUACCAACCCGAUGCAAACUGCGAAUACCGGAGAAUGUUAUCACGGGAGACACACGGCGGGUGCUAACGUCCGUCGUGAAGAGGGAAACAACCCAGACCGCCAGCUAAGGUCCCAAAGUCAUGGUUAAGUGGGAAACGAUGUGGGAAGGCCCAGACAGCCAGGAUGUUGGCUUAGAAGCAGCCAUCAUUUAAAGAAAGCGUAAUAGCUCACUGGUCGAGUCGGCCUGCGCGGAAGAUGUAACGGGGCUAAACCAUGCACCGAAGCUGCGGCAGCGACGCUGAUGCGUUGUUGGGUAGGGGAGCGUUCUGUAAGCCUGUGAAGGUGUGCUGUGAGGUAUGCUGGAGGUAUCAGAAGUGCGAAUGCUGACAUAAGUAACGAUAAAGCGGGUGAAAAGCCCGCUCGCCGGAAGACCAAGGGUUCCUGUCCAACGUUAAUCGGGGCAGGGUGAGUCGACCCCUAAGGCGAGGCCGAAAGGCGUAGUCGAUGGGAAACAGGUUAAUAUUCCUGUACUUGGUGUUACUGCGAAGGGGGGACGGAGAAGGCUAUGUUGGCCGGGCGACGGUUGUCCCGGUUUAAGCGUGUAGGCUGGUUUUCCAGGCAAAUCCGGAAAACUAAGGCUGAGGCGUGAUGACGAGGCACUACGGUGCUGAAGCAACAAAUGCCCUGCUUCCAGGAAAAGCCUCUAAGCAUCAGGUAACAUCAAAUCGUACCCCAAACCGACACAGGUGGUCAGGUAGAGAAUACCAAGGCGCUUGAGAGAACUCGGGUGAAGGAACUAGGCAAAAUGGUGCCGUAACUUCGGGAGAAGGCACGCUGAUAUGUAGGUGAAGUCCCUCGCGGAUGGAGCUGAAAUCAGUCGAAGAUACCAGCUGGCUGCAACUGUUUAUUAAAAACACAGCACUGUGCAAACACGAAAGUGGACGUAUACGGUGUGACGCCUGCCCGGUGCCGGAAGGUUAAUUGAUGGGGUCAGCGCAAGCGAAGCUCUUGAUCGAAGCCCCGGUAAACGGCGGCCGUAACUAUAACGGUCCUAAGGUAGCGAAAUUCCUUGUCGGGUAAGUUCCGACCUGCACGAAUGGCGUAAUGAUGGCCAGGCUGUCUCCACCCGAGACUCAGUGAAAUUGAACUCGCUGUGAAGAUGCAGUGUACCCGCGGCAAGACGGAAAGACCCCGUGAACCUUUACUAUAGCUUGACACUGAACAUUGAGCCUUGAUGUGUAGGAUAGGUGGGAGGCUUUGAAGUGUGGACGCCAGUCUGCAUGGAGCCGACCUUGAAAUACCACCCUUUAAUGUUUGAUGUUCUAACGUUGACCCGUAAUCCGGGUUGCGGACAGUGUCUGGUGGGUAGUUUGACUGGGGCGGUCUCCUCCUAAAGAGUAACGGAGGAGCACGAAGGUUGGCUAAUCCUGGUCGGACAUCAGGAGGUUAGUGCAAUGGCAUAAGCCAGCUUGACUGCGAGCGUGACGGCGCGAGCAGGUGCGAAAGCAGGUCAUAGUGAUCCGGUGGUUCUGAAUGGAAGGGCCAUCGCUCAACGGAUAAAAGGUACUCCGGGGAUAACAGGCUGAUACCGCCCAAGAGUUCAUAUCGACGGCGGUGUUUGGCACCUCGAUGUCGGCUCAUCACAUCCUGGGGCUGAAGUAGGUCCCAAGGGUAUGGCUGUUCGCCAUUUAAAGUGGUACGCGAGCUGGGUUUAGAACGUCGUGAGACAGUUCGGUCCCUAUCUGCCGUGGGCGCUGGAGAACUGAGGGGGGCUGCUCCUAGUACGAGAGGACCGGAGUGGACGCAUCACUGGUGUUCGGGUUGUCAUGCCAAUGGCACUGCCCGGUAGCUAAAUGCGGAAGAGAUAAGUGCUGAAAGCAUCUAAGCACGAAACUUGCCCCGAGAUGAGUUCUCCCUGACUCCUUGAGAGUCCUGAAGGAACGUUGAAGACGACGACGUUGAUAGGCCGGGUGUGUAAGCGCAGCGAUGCGUUGAGCUAACCGGUACUAAUGAACCGUGAGGCUUAACCUUACAACGCCGAAGGUGUUU
Molecule: ribosomal RNA, 2662 nt
Filed under: Shigella boydii
Lineage: Bacteria; Pseudomonadati; Pseudomonadota; Gammaproteobacteria; Enterobacterales; Enterobacteriaceae
Description: partial 23S ribosomal RNA
Rfam family: Bacterial large subunit ribosomal RNA
Source: RNAcentral